UGGACCAGUGAUGACCACAGGUGGUGUCUGAGUCAUGGGAGAUGAAUAGUAUGUGCCUGGAACUCUGAUGUCCAA
Small nucleolar RNA from Loxodonta africana (African savanna elephant), 75 nucleotides. Ensembl annotates it as small nucleolar RNA SNORD113/SNORD114 family. The record is from Ensembl. NCBI's taxonomy places the organism in Eukaryota, Metazoa, Chordata, Mammalia, Proboscidea, Elephantidae.